CCUGUGAAGAUGCAGGUUACCCGCGACAGGACGGAAAGACCCCGUGGAGCUUUACUGUAGCCUGAUAUUGAAUUUUGGUACAGUUUGUACAGGAUAGGCGGGAGCCAUUGAAACCGGAGCGCUAGCUUCGGUGGAGGCGCUGGUGGGAUACCGCCCUGACUGUAUUGAAAUUCUAACCUACGGGUCUUAUCGACCCGGGAGACAGUGUCAGGUGGGCAGUUUGACUGGGGCGGUCGCCUCCUAAAGUGUAACGGAGGCGCCCAAAGGUUCCCUCAGAAUGGUUGGAAAUCAUUCGUAGAGUGCAAAGGCAUAAGGGAGCUUGACUGCGAGACCUACAAGUCGAGCAGGGACGAAAGUCGGGCUUAGUGAUCCGGUGGUUCCGCAUGGAAGGGCCAUCGCUCAACGGAUAAAAGCUACCCCGGGGAUAACAGGCUUAUCUCCCCCAAGAGUCCACAUCGACGGGGAGGUUUGGCACCUCGAUGUCGGCUCAUCGCAUCCUGGGGCUGUAGUCGGUCCCAAGGGUUGGGCUGUUCGCCCAUUAAAGCGGUACGCGAGCUGGGUUCAGAACGUCGUGAGACAGUUCGGUCCCUAUCCGUCGUGGGCGUAGGAAAUUUGAGAGGAGCUGUCCUUAGUACGAGAGGACCGGGAUGGACGCACCGCUGGUGUACCAGUUGUUCUGCCAAGGGCAUAGCUGGGUAGCUAUGUGCGGAAGGGAUAAGUGCUGAAAGCAUCUAAGCAUGAAGCCCCCCUCAAGAUGAGAUUUCCCAUAGCGUAAGCUAGUAAGAUCCCUGAAAGAUGAUCAGGUUGAUAGGUUC
RNAcentral lists this ribosomal RNA (815 nucleotides) under Bacillus cereus. RNAcentral's name for it is "partial 23S ribosomal RNA". It matches the Rfam family "Bacterial large subunit ribosomal RNA", at positions 2050 to 2863 of the family's 2925-position model. Lineage: Bacteria; Bacillati; Bacillota; Bacilli; Caryophanales; Bacillaceae. The record is from RNAcentral.